This 73-nucleotide transfer RNA is filed under the name Gehyra mutilata (stump-toed gecko). RNAcentral describes it as "tRNA-Asn". It matches the Rfam family "tRNA". Rfam says of the family: Transfer RNA (tRNA) molecules are approximately 80 nucleotides in length. Their secondary structure includes four short double-helical elements and three loops (D, anti-codon, and T loops). Further hydrogen bonds mediate the characteristic L-shaped molecular structure. tRNAs have two regions of fundamental functional importance: the anti-codon, which is responsible for specific mRNA codon recognition, and the 3' end, to which the tRNAs corresponding amino acid is attached (by aminoacyl-tRNA synthetases). tRNAs cope with the degeneracy of the genetic code in two manners: having more than one tRNA (with a specific anti-codon) for a particular amino acid; and 'wobble' base-pairing, i.e. permitting non-standard base-pairing at the 3rd anti-codon position. Lineage: Eukaryota; Metazoa; Chordata; Lepidosauria; Squamata; Gekkonidae. The record is from RNAcentral.
UACAUUGAAGCCCGCUGGGUUGGGUGUUUAGCUGUUAAUUAAAAUUUUACGGGAUCGAGGCCCGUCAGUCUAG